GGACACUGUGAAUGUCAGCCCAGAAGGUGAUCAGAGCCUGUUAAUUAAAAUGGAAAGAAGACAGAAGGGAAGGUAGACAUCAGGUUCUCCCUGGAGACUUUUCGUUUUCAUUUACGCUGCGGAAACUGACGUUUUUGCCUAACACCCCAUGUAAUGUAAACGUAUAGGCUUGAGUACGUGUCCGGCCGCAUGUGUAGUGAACCCUAAAGCUUUCCUAAUUGUAGUUAGCAUCGUCCCUAAGCGGAACGAUUUUCCGUGAACAUGAUUUGUACUUUUCUACGAGCCGUACAGUAUACGGAGAAGCUGCACAGGUCCUCGGCAAAGCGAUUGCUUUUGCCAUACAUCGUGCUUAACAAAGCGUGCUUGAAGACUGAGCCCAGUUUGAGAUGUGGGCUUCAAUAUCAAAAGAAAACGCUGCGACCUAGAUGUAUUCUUGGAGUCACCCAGAAAACCAUCUGGACGCAGGGACCGAGCCCCCGAAAAGCAAAGGAGGAUGGCAGCAAACAAGUGUCUGUGCACAGGAGUCAGAGAGGGGGAACCGCCGUCCCAACAUCACAAAAAGUGAAAGAAGCCGGAAGAGAUUUUACCUAUUUAAUAGUGGUGCUUUUUGGAAUCAGCAUUACAGGUUGCAAAAAACAGCAAGUGGCUUGUUUUACACGAUUUUCAAAGAACUUUUUUCUUCAUCCAGUCCUAGCAAGAUAUAUGGGAGAGCCUUAGAAAAAUGCAGAUCACAUCCUGAGGUGAUCGGUGUCUUUGGUGAGUCUGUUAAAGGCUAUGGGGAGGUGACAAGGCGGGGUCGCCGGCAGCAUGUCAGGUUCACUGAAUAUGUAAAAGAUGGGCUGAAACACACGUGUGUGAAAUUCUACAUUGAGGGCUCUGAGCCAGGGAAGCAAGGAACGGUGUAUGCGCAAGUGAAAGAGAACCCAGGAAGUGGUGAAUAUGAUUUUCGAUAUAUAUUUGUAGAAAUUGAAUCUUAUCCUAGAAGAACUAUUAUCAUUGAAGAUAAUCGAUCCCAAGAUGAUUAAAAUAGGGUUUCUGAUGGAUGUUGAAUGGCGUGGACUCGCUACUCCGUUCUUCACAGCUGCCUUCCAGAAUGUGUUCAAAAGAAAGACAAGAAGGAGUGUAUGGCUUAUAAAGUGAAUCUAAUACAGUAUUUGUUGCAUUUAAACAAACUAGACAUUUUCUUACGGAAAAAUUAUGAAAUACAGCAUAUUUUAUGUUCUCCCAUUGACUCAAUCAUGACAAUAUUUCUGCUUUAACACCAUCUUUCAUGAUUAGAAAUGUUUGUUAUUGGAAAUGUUACACCAUGUAAAUAAAGGAAAUAGAUUUUA
RNAcentral lists this long non-coding RNA (1331 nucleotides) under Homo sapiens (human). RNAcentral describes it as "long non-coding RNA NONHSAT178001.1". Lineage: Eukaryota; Metazoa; Chordata; Mammalia; Primates; Hominidae. The record is from RNAcentral.